Molecule: ribosomal RNA, 510 nt
Filed under: uncultured bacterium
Lineage: Bacteria
Description: partial 16S ribosomal RNA
Rfam family: Bacterial small subunit ribosomal RNA
Source: RNAcentral
GACGAACGCUGGCGGCGUGCUUAACACAUGCAAGUCGAACGAAGAGCGAUGGACGCUUGCUUUUAUCAAUCUUAGUGGCGAACGGGUGAGUAACGCGUAAUCAACCUGCCCUUCAGAGGGGGACAACAGUUGGAAACGACUGCUAAUACCGCAUACGAUCUAAUCUCGGCAUCGAGGAUAGAUGAAAGGUGGCCUCUACAUGUAAGCUAUCACUGAAGGAGGGGAUUGCGUCUGAUUAGCUAGUUGGAGGGGUAACGGCCCACCAAGGCGAUGAUCAGUAGCCGGUCUGAGAGGAUGAACGGCCACAUUGGGACUGAGACACGGCCCAGACUCCUACGGGAGGCAGCAGUGGGGAAUCUUCCGCAAUGGACGAAAGUCUGACGGAGCAACGCCGCGUGAGUGAUGACGGCCUUCGGGUUGUAAAGCUCUGUUAAUCGGGACGAAAGGCCUUCUUGCGAAUAGGGAGAAGGAUUGACGGUACCGGAAGAGAAAGCCACGGCUAACUACGUG